UACAGAGGUCUCAAGCGUUGUUCGGAUUCAUUGGGCGUAAAGGGUGCGCAGGCGGCGGGGCAAGUCGGACGUGAAAUCUCGGGGCCCAACCCCGAAACUGCGUUCGAUACUGCCUUGCUCGAGGACUGGAGAGGAGACUGGAAUUCCUGGUGUAGCAGUGAAAUGCGUAGAUAUCAGGAGGAACGCCAAUGGCGAAGGCAAGUCUCUGGACAGUUCCUGACGCUCAUGCACGAAGGCCAGGGGAGCAAACGGG
RNAcentral lists this ribosomal RNA (253 nucleotides) under uncultured bacterium. Its description in RNAcentral is "partial 16S ribosomal RNA". It matches the Rfam family "Bacterial small subunit ribosomal RNA", at positions 524 to 776 of the family's 1533-position model. The record is from RNAcentral.